GAUGAACGCUGGCGGUGUGCCUAAUACAUGCAAGUCGAGCGAACGGACGAGAAGCUUGCUUCACUGAUGUUAGCGACGGACGGGUGAGUAACACGUGGAUAACCCUCCUAUAAGACUGGGAUAACUUCGGGAAACCGGAGCUAAUACCGGAUACUAUUUUGAACCGCAUGGUUCAAAAGUGACAGACGGUCUUGCUGUCACUUAUAGAUGGAUCCGCACUGCAUUAGCGAGCUGGUAAGGUAACGGCUUACCAAGGCAACGAUGCAUAGCCGACCUGAGAGGCUGAUCGGACACACUGGAACUGAGACGCGGAGCAGACUCCUACGGAAGGCAUGGGUAGGGAAACUGCAGCAAUAGGCGAGAGAGUAACCAGGCAACACGGCGUGGGUAAUGAUGGUCUUCGGAUCGUAAGACGCUGUUGAUGGGGAACAACAGAUGUGUCAGUAACCGCGCACAUCUCGACGGUACCAGAUCAGAAGGCCACGGCUAACUACGUG
Molecule: ribosomal RNA, 497 nt
Filed under: uncultured bacterium
Lineage: Bacteria
Description: partial 16S ribosomal RNA
Rfam family: Bacterial small subunit ribosomal RNA
Source: RNAcentral